CGAACGAGGUCCAUGGAGCUUGCUCCGGAAGACCUAGUGGCGAACGGGUGCGUAACACGUGAGAAACCUGUCCCGGACUUGGGAAUAACAGUCGGAAACGACUGCUAAUACCGAAUACCUUCACAUCAUCGCAUGGUGGAGUGAAGAAAGCUUUUGCGGUUUGGGAGGGUCUCGCGGCCUAUCAGCUUGUUGGUGAGGUAACGGCUCACCAAGGCAUCGACGGGUAGCUGGUCUGAGAGGAUGAUCAGCCACACUGGGACUGAGACACGGCCCAGACUCCUACGGGAGGCAGCAGUGGGGAAUAUUGCACAAUGGGCGCAAGCCUGAUGCAGCGAUGCCGCGUGCGGGAAGAAGGCCCUAGGGUUGUAAACCGCUUUCAGCAGGGAAGAAAAUGACGGUACCUGUAGAAGAAGGUGCGGCCAACUACGUGCCAGCAGCCGCGGUGACACGUAGGCACCAAGCGUUGUCCGGAUUUAUUGGGCGUAAAGAGCUCGUAGGCGGUUCAGUAAGUCGGGUGUGAAAACUCAGGGCUCAACCCUGAGAGGCCACUCGAUACUGCUGUGACUUGAGUACGGUAGGGGAGCGGGGAAUUCCUGGUG
RNAcentral lists this ribosomal RNA (599 nucleotides) under Ilumatobacter fluminis. RNAcentral's name for it is "bacterial SSU rRNA". It matches the Rfam family "Bacterial small subunit ribosomal RNA", at positions 63 to 675 of the family's 1533-position model. The record is from RNAcentral. Lineage: Bacteria; Bacillati; Actinomycetota; Acidimicrobiia; Acidimicrobiales; Ilumatobacteraceae.